RNAcentral lists this ribosomal RNA (492 nucleotides) under uncultured bacterium. RNAcentral's name for it is "partial 16S ribosomal RNA". It matches the Rfam family "Bacterial small subunit ribosomal RNA", at positions 29 to 507 of the family's 1533-position model. The record is from RNAcentral.
AGUGAACGCUGGCGGUAGGCCUAACACAUGCAAGUCGAACGGCAGCACGGUAAGAGCUUGCUCUUACGGGUGGCGAGUGGCGGACGGGUGAGGAAUACAUCGGAAUCUACUUUUUCGUGGGGGAUAACGUAGGGAAACUUACGCUAAUACCGCAUACGACCUACGGUUGAAAGCAGGGGAUCUUCGGACCUUGCGCGAUUGAAUGAGCCGAUGUCGGAUUAGCUAGUUGGCGGGGUAAAGGCCCACCAAGGCGACGAUCCGUAGCUGGUCUGAGAGGAGGAUCAGCCACACUGGAACUGAGACACGGACCAGGCUCCUACGGGAGGCAGCAGUGGGGAAUAUUGGACAAUGGGCGCAAGCCUGAUACAGCCAUACCGCGUGGGUGAAGAAGGCCUUCGGGUUGUAAAGCCCUUUUGUUGGGAAAGAAAAGCAGCAGGUUAAUACCACGCUGUUCUGACGGUACCCAAAGAAUAAGCACCGGCUAACUUCGUG